RNAcentral lists this ribosomal RNA (906 nucleotides) under Penicillium decumbens. RNAcentral's name for it is "LSU rRNA". It matches the Rfam family "Eukaryotic large subunit ribosomal RNA", at positions 38 to 962 of the family's 3401-position model. Lineage: Eukaryota; Fungi; Ascomycota; Eurotiomycetes; Eurotiales; Aspergillaceae. The record is from RNAcentral.
GCAUAUCAAUAAGCGGAGGAAAAGAAACCAACAGGGAUUGCCUCAGUAACGGCGAGUGAAGCGGCAAGAGCUCAAAUUUGAAAGCUGGCCCCCUCGGGGUCCGCAUUGUAAUUUGCAGAGGAUGCUUCGGGAGUGGCCCCCAUCUAAGUGCUCUGGAACGGGCCGUCAUAGAGGGUGAGAAUCCCGUAUGGGAUGGGGUGUCCGCGACCAUGUGAAGCUCCUUCGACGAGUCGAGUUGUUUGGGAAUGCAGCUCUAAAUGGGUGGUAAAUUUCAUCUAAAGCUAAAUAUUGGCCGGAGACCGAUAGCGCACAAGUAGAGUGAUCGAAAGAUGAAAAGCACUUUGAAAAGAGAGUUAAAAAGCACGUGAAAUUGUUGAAAGGGAAGCGCUUGCGACCAGACUCGCCUGCGGGGUUCAGCCGGUAUUCGUACCGGUGUACUUCCCCGUGGGCGGGCCAGCGUCGGUUUGGGCGGCCGGUCAAAGGCCCUCGGAAUGUAACGCCUCUCGGGGCGUCUUAUAGCCGAGGGUGCCAUGCGGCCAGCCCGGACCGAGGAACGCGCUUCGGCACGGACGCUGGCAUAAUGGUCGUAAGCGACCCGUCUUGAAACACGGACCAAGGAGUCUAACAUCUACGCGAGUGUUCGGGUGUCAAACCCGUGCGCGCAGUGAAAGCGAACGGAGGUGGGAACCCUCACGGGUGCACCAUCGACCGAUCCUGAAGUCUUCGGAUGGAUUUGAGUAAGAGCGUAGCUGUUGGGACCCGAAAGAUGGUGAACUAUGCCUGAAUAGGGCGAAGCCAGAGGAAACUCUGGUGGAGGCUCGCAGCGGUUCUGACGUGCAAAUCGAUCGUCAAAUUUGGGUAUAGGGGCGAAAGACUAAUCGAACCAUCUAGUAGCUGGUUCCUGCG